GUAGCGGUGAAAUGCGUAGAGAUCUGGAGGAAUACCGGUGGCGAAGGCGGCCCCCUGGACGAAGACUGACGCUCAGGUGCGAAAGCGUGGGGAGCAAACAGGAUUAGAUACCCUGGUAGUCCACGCCGUAAACGAUGUCGACUUGGAGGUUGUGGCUUCCGGAGCUAACGCGUUAAGUCGACCGCCUGGGGAGUACGGCCGCAAGGUUAAAACUCAAAUGAAUUGACGGGGGCCCGCACAAGCGGUGGAGCAUGUGGUUUAAUUCGAUGCAACGCGAAGAACCUUACCUGGUCUUGACAUCCAGGUGCUGCAUGGCUGUCGUCAGCUCGUGUUGUGAAAUGUUGGGUUAAGUCCCGCAACGAGCGCAACCCUUAUCCUUUGUUGCAACUCAAAGGAGACUGCCAGUGAUAAACUGGAGGAAGGUGGGGAUGACGUCAAGUCAUCACGGCCCUUACGACCAGGGCUACACACGUGCUACAAUGGCGCAUACAAAGAGAAGCGACCUCGCGAGAGCAAGCGGACCUCAUAAAGUGCGUCGUAGUCCGGAUUG
RNAcentral lists this ribosomal RNA (550 nucleotides) under uncultured bacterium. RNAcentral describes it as "bacterial SSU rRNA". It matches the Rfam family "Bacterial small subunit ribosomal RNA", at positions 675 to 1300 of the family's 1533-position model. The record is from RNAcentral.